RNAcentral lists this unclassified non-coding RNA (609 nucleotides) under Hevea brasiliensis (rubber tree). Lineage: Eukaryota; Viridiplantae; Streptophyta; Magnoliopsida; Malpighiales; Euphorbiaceae. The record is from RNAcentral.
GAUUAAUUCUCUGCAAUUAUGAGUUCUCAUUUCUUCUCAAUUGAUAGAUUAAUUGUAUUUGAGACCAACCUUAUAUGCUCUAAAAGUGAGCUUAAGCAAGGCUUGUAUACAUAACAAAUUAAAUGAAGUGAGGACUGUUUAUUUGUAGCCUUAUUGUCUGUAUUUGGACAUAAAAUUUGCUGACAUCUUGUGAAUUGUUGUGUUAGGUACUUUGGUGUUAAAAUGAAAAUUGAAUAUGUUUGUACUAGUUUGAUUAAGAUAUUUGAGUUAAAUUGUGGUAAAUUAGGCAUGAGCUGACAGUUGCAAGCAAUAGCUUGAUGUUGAAACUCUCACAAAUAUGAACGGAUAAUGUAGUUUCAAUCGGAUAAUGUUUCAAUAUGGUCAGCUGGAAUCUUGCAGUUGUACGUUAUCAUUAAUAUAGGUUUCAUCUCAAGGUCUCAGGGUUUUCUUUUGCCUAUGAGCCUUCUAAAUUCACUCAUGCAAAGACAACAGUUAAGAAGAAAGCUUUGAAGUUUUCAGUUACUAUUAUUAUUAGGAUUUGCCCUGAAGUCCUGGUGGUGUUCCCAACAUUUUAGUUGAAUUAACCGUCUGAACUCCUUGAUUUUCAGG